Drosophila melanogaster (fruit fly) is the source of this 1399-nucleotide non-coding RNA. NCBI's taxonomy places the organism in Eukaryota, Metazoa, Arthropoda, Insecta, Diptera, Drosophilidae. The record is from Ensembl.
GCCAGUUAUAACAGGUGCCCUGCUCCAGAUCCACUCGAACUUUGACCACCAGCGUUGGUGGUUGGUGGUAAACGCCCUCGAUCCCGAUCCCGAUCCCAAUCCGAAUCCCUAGUUGUUGAUUCCAAUCUCGUCCACUCAACGAAAUCAAUUAUGUACUACAAAAUUGUACAAAUCAUUUUCGUUCGACCUCCAAAGUGUUUCAGCUGCCAGGGGAUCGAAAAAAAAAAAGAAAGAGAGAAUGGCAAGGAUGCAGCUGUAAGGAUCGCACAUUUUGUGGCAUGAGGAUGAUGUUGAGAUUGAGGACGAGGGCAGGAGUCGAGGGCCCUUUGACACGCUCGCGGGAUUAGCACGGAAUGAGCGAAGGAGGGCCGGGGGCCUUGUUUCGCCGGAGAGCUGUGAAAAUUCCUGGCAUCUUUAAUGAGCGCCGGCUUAUCAAUGGCCUCCGCCGUCAUCCGCUCCACAUCCCAUACCCAUGCCGAUGCCCAUACCCAUAUCCAUUCGCAGUACCAUUCCCAUUCCCAGCCGCAGUCGCAGUCGCAGUCUGAUUGUUAACCUUUGAAUCGGGGCAUUAAAAAACGUUAACAAGCUGCGUAGCGCCGUCGGCGGCGUUAAUGUCGAAAUUGGCGCUGGCCCAGGAAUGGCCAAGAUCGGUGAACUGGAGGUGGAGGAGGAGGAGGAGGAGGAGGAGGAGAAUGAGUAUGCGGAUGGGAAGGAGAAGUGAUUCCAGGAGGGGAGCAGGAGAUCGGGGCAACUGGGAACUGGGGCCUGCGACUGGGACUGGGACGAACGUGUUUCUUAAUGAAACAAAGCUUGAAUUUUAAAUGAGCAUCAUAAAGAACAAUGAAAAUGCAAGGAACAGCAACAACAAAGCGAGACCGGCGAUCCGUUCGAUGGACAAACACUGGCGGAGAAGUGAGCGGAGAGGGAGCGGUGGCGGGGCGAUGGAGCGCGGACAGCGCGAAAUAAAAGCGCAGAAAUGUUAAAUAAACAAUAAAAAACAAUCCGCUGCCCCACCGCCCCCUCGCGGAGUCUGUCAAACUCGGCCAGCGGAUUAAGCGCGGCCUGCGCACAAGACGCACCAGAGAUGGAUAUGGCAGCGAUCCCAGGCGAUCCCCCAAGCCCCCUCCCCAGACCUCAGCCCCGAUCCGCCCGUGCUCCACUCCAACCACGUUUCCCCAAAUCCCCGAAACCCCUCAUCAAGCCAGUCCGGAGAUGGAGCAGGAUGGGGCGAAGUCAGGAGGAAGAGCGUUCCAGCUGACGCGCCGACUGCUGAAUGUCCUGCCACAAGGUCUCCGAAUUGUAUUGUUACCAUUCAAGUUUUUAAUAUAAAUACCUUCUAGUUAAAUAGUUUUACCACCUAUUCUGAAUUUUUAUAAAUAAAGUUGUGAAUAAGUUAAUU